GGAUAACCUACCCUUAGGACCGGGAUAACCUUGGGAAACUGAGGAUAAUACUGGAUAGGCAAUUUUUCCUGUAAUGGUUUUUUGUUUAAAUGUUUUUUCGCCUAAGGAUGGGUCUGCGGCCGAUUAGGUAGUUGGUUAGGUAACGGCUUACCAAGCCGUUGAUCGGUACGGGUUGUGAGAGCAAGAGCCCGGAGAUGGAACCUGAGACAAGGUUCCAGGCCCUACGGGGUGCAGCAGGCGCGAAACCUCCGCAAUGUGAGAAAUCGCGACGGGGGGAUCCCAAGUGCCAUUCUUAACGGGAUGGCUUUUCAUUAGUGUAAAAAGCUUUUGGAAUAAGAGCUGGGCAAGACCGGUGCCAGCCGCCGCGGUAACACCGGCAGCUCUAGUGGUAGCAAUUUUUAUUGGGCCUAAAGCGUCCGUAGCCGGUUUAAUAAGUCUCUGGUGAAAUCCUGUAGCUUAACUGUGGGAAUUGCUGGAGAUACUAUUAGACUUGAGACCGGGAGAGGUUAGAGGUACUCCCAGGGUAGAGGUGAAAUUCUGUAAUCCUGGGAGGACCGCCUGUUGCGAAGGCGUCUAACUGGAACGGUUCUGACGGUGAGGGACGAAAGUUAGGGGCGCGAACCGGAUUAGAUACCCGGGUAGUCCUAACUGUAAACGAUGCGGACUUGGUGUUGGGGUGGCUUUGAGCUGCUCCAGUGCCGAAGGGAAGCUGUUAAGUCCGCCGCCUGGGAAGUACGGUCGCAAGACUGAAACUUAA
RNAcentral lists this ribosomal RNA (757 nucleotides) under uncultured archaeon. RNAcentral describes it as "bacterial SSU rRNA". It matches the Rfam family "Archaeal small subunit ribosomal RNA", at positions 102 to 859 of the family's 1478-position model. The record is from RNAcentral.